Anas platyrhynchos (mallard) is the source of this 1330-nucleotide long non-coding RNA. RefSeq lists it as uncharacterized. Lineage: Eukaryota; Metazoa; Chordata; Aves; Anseriformes; Anatidae. The record is from RefSeq and is a predicted model, not a curated record.
GAAUCAUGCAGAAUUUGUCACUUCUGUGUGGUUGGUGGCCUGCGUGACACACAGAUGAAUUUAGGGAUGGGGUCCUGGGGCCCUCAGCAGCAGGUGGGGGCAGGCAGAGGUGGCAGCUCCCCAGCUGGGGGGGAUCUGUGAUGGGGCUGUGGGUCCCAGCUGGGCAGGGCACCCACACACACCCAGAGAGGAAGAAGAGGAAGAGGAGGCGUCUGCAGCAAUGCUACACCUUGUGCCCAGGGGAUGCUUCAGCCUGGCUGGAGGAAACCCGGGUGGAAAUUCAGCUACUAGUUAUCCUGCCUUGCAAGGAACUCCAUGGAAACGUGUCCAGAGAACCCUUCCUCUCACCCAGUCUUGUGGCAAUUUGAAUUCACCUCUCGCCUCCCUAAACUCCUGGAUGUAUCUUGGACUUGCUGAACUUCCUAUUUCCUUCCUUCCCCAGGCACAUCGGGCCUUUGAAAGAGGGGAUGGAAACAAAACAUGGAAAAGAAAAUUAGCACUUUCAAAGUGUUAAUCCUUUGAAAAACAGCAGCAACAAAUUAAUUAAGUACCUACACAUCCCUCUUCCUCCUUCCUAACUCAGAGGUAGGUAAGGGAGAUAUGGAAGACAAAACUUAGGAAUCAGUUACCUUGAGAGCACCAGCCACUAUUGCUUGCUAAGUAACUGUAUGAAGUGGCAAAGCUUAAGAGCGAAGUAAGGUUUAAUGGUAUUCUCACAUAAAUUUACUUGGAUUUCUUAAAAACUUUUCACCUGAAUUUAGCAGAAGCAUAGCGUAGACUUUAGGGAUGACCAGAAUAAAAUCAGAAAGCAAUCACCUGGAACGUCUGUGACUUCUCUAGCACAGAAUGCAAGGCCAACAAUCUGUUACCUAUUUGUAUACAACUACUUGCAGUUCCUUGGCUUGCUGAUCACUGAUCUUGAGACGUGUAAGUAAAAAUUGCACUAUUUUACUUGAAUGCAGCUGUUUAGCAUGUGCUUGCCUCCGACACUGAAAGCAGACUUUUGGUUAUUUCUAAAAACAAAGCAAAACCAACCCAUUAUCCUGGGGGAAAAUGAGUGUAAAUCAAAUUAUUCAGGCUUUAAUUUGUAGGGUUUUGACAAACAUUUAUUAAUGCAAGUCUCAGCAACAAUUUUCUUUUUAUUUCAGUAUUUUCAACCAGAUGGAAUGUUAUAGCUCUACACCACAAAGCCUGUAUGAUACACAAUCCUUGCUUAUCCCAGCUCCAAACUGCUUUGUGUAUCAAACAUGCACAAACUGUGUAUAGAUGGCUCCACAAUCUCCACGUCUGAGACAGCACGCCCCAAGAAACUGUUAGCCUGCUUUGCUCU